UUCAUUUAACAUACAAAAACAGAAGAUUUGCAUUCAACUGAAAACAAAACACAUGUCUUAACAAAUAAUAAAUCUAGAUCGUGGACCAAUUAUCCACAUUUCUUACCUAAUCCGAGGAAAACAAACUGCCAUGAAUACCAAUUUGACAAAAAAAAAAAAUCCUAAAUUGCUUUUAAGAUGAUCAAUUGUCUUAUAAAUUUAAUAAUGUUGCAUUAAUUACGUUUACUAACACAACAGUUCAAUACUUUCUCUCAUCCCCAUGCACGAGGCAAGGAG
This 276-nucleotide long non-coding RNA is filed under the name Brassica rapa (field mustard). RNAcentral describes it as "long non-coding RNA (BRAP_LNC003912)". The record is from RNAcentral. Lineage: Eukaryota; Viridiplantae; Streptophyta; Magnoliopsida; Brassicales; Brassicaceae.